GGUAUGAGUAAGUAUAUGAGAUACAAAUCUGAAGUUAUUGAAAGGUUUAAAGAAUUCAGAUGUAAAGUAGAGAAGUAAAUCAAAAAAAUUUUAAAGGUACUUUGAUCGGAUUGAGGAUGCAAUACCAAUAAAAAAAAUUUCUCAGUUAUCUCAUAAAAUGGCAUUGUUUCAUAUUGGACUACUUUUAGUACAUCUCAGCUCAACG
Molecule: long non-coding RNA, 205 nt
Filed under: Elaeis guineensis (African oil palm)
Lineage: Eukaryota; Viridiplantae; Streptophyta; Magnoliopsida; Arecales; Arecaceae
Description: long non-coding RNA (EGUI_LNC068940)
Source: RNAcentral